CUGGGGCAGUAUGGAGCUCAGUCUGCUCUCUCUGAUGAUCUGGCUGAUUGUGCUCAUCCACUGUGAACAAACUCCAGCACAACAGAAACCAACUGUGAAGGUGGAGCCUCAGAGCCCAGACACAGUUACUCUGAGCUGUGAGAUGCUGCAGUCUACUGGAGAGAAGUUUUUAUGGAUGAAAAACUCUCAGUAUUUACAACAUGAAUUAAAAACACUAACCGUAACGCUGCUU
Colossoma macropomum (tambaqui) is the source of this 232-nucleotide long non-coding RNA. RefSeq lists it as uncharacterized. The transcript has 3 exons. Lineage: Eukaryota; Metazoa; Chordata; Actinopteri; Characiformes; Serrasalmidae. The record is from RefSeq and is a predicted model, not a curated record.